CGCUAGCCAUCUCAUGAUGGUUCCCGCGCCGCGAAUCCGCGACCGGGAUGAAAAGGGAACACGGUGCGGCCCAAUCUGAGGCCAAGUCCGCGACUGCCCCCGCAACUGUAAGCGGAGAGCGACGCCGAAACACCACUGACCGCAAGGUCGGGAAGGUCGGCCAAGCGAUGACCCGCAAGUCAGGAGACCUGCCAUCGAAACUGAAACUCG
This 210-nucleotide non-coding RNA is filed under the name Falsiruegeria litorea R37. The record is from RNAcentral. Lineage: Bacteria; Pseudomonadati; Pseudomonadota; Alphaproteobacteria; Rhodobacterales; Roseobacteraceae. RNAcentral also lists the same sequence under 1 other name.